Molecule: transfer RNA, 64 nt
Organism: Cavia porcellus (domestic guinea pig)
Lineage: Eukaryota; Metazoa; Chordata; Mammalia; Rodentia; Caviidae
Rfam family: tRNA
About the family: Transfer RNA (tRNA) molecules are approximately 80 nucleotides in length. Their secondary structure includes four short double-helical elements and three loops (D, anti-codon, and T loops).
Source: Rfam
GGGGAUUUAGCUCAGCGGCAUGAGCACCUGCCUUGCAAGCACACAGUUGUGAGUUCAAUCCCCG